ACUGUACAGUAGAGUUUGAUCAUGGCUCAGAACGAACGUUAGCGGCGCGCUUAACACAUGCAAGUCGAGCGAGAAAGGGGCAACCCCGGUAAAGCGGCGCACGGGUGAGUAACACGUAGGUAAUCUACCCCCGGGUGGUGGAUAACCUUCCGAAAGGAAGGCUAAUACAGCAUGGGACCACGGCUUCGAAAGGAGCUGGGGUGAAAGUCGGCCUCUUCGCGAAAGCCGACGCCAGGGGAUGAGCCUGCGGCCCAUCAGCUAGUUGGUAGGGUAAUGGCCUACCAAGGCGAAGACGGGUAGCUGGUCUGAGAGGAUGAUCAGCCACACUGGAACUGAGACACGGUCCAGACUCCUACGGGAGGCAGCAGUGGGGAAUCUUGCGCAAUGGGCGAAAGCCUGACGCAGCGACGCCGCGUGAGUGAUGAAGGCCUUCGGGUUGUAAAGCUCUGUGGGAGGGGGACGAAUAAGCGUUGGUUAAUAUCCGAGCGUGAUGACGGUACCCCUUUAGCAAGCACCGGCUAACUCUGUGCCAGCAGCCGCGGUAAU
This 546-nucleotide ribosomal RNA is filed under the name uncultured Polyangiaceae bacterium. RNAcentral describes it as "bacterial SSU rRNA". It matches the Rfam family "Bacterial small subunit ribosomal RNA", at positions 1 to 524 of the family's 1533-position model. Lineage: Bacteria; Pseudomonadati; Myxococcota; Polyangiales; Polyangiaceae. The record is from RNAcentral.